This 589-nucleotide ribosomal RNA is filed under the name Dendrolimus houi. RNAcentral describes it as "eukaryotic LSU rRNA". The record is from RNAcentral. Lineage: Eukaryota; Metazoa; Arthropoda; Insecta; Lepidoptera; Lasiocampidae.
AGGACCACUCCUGUCCGAGGGCCGGCUGCAUAAAAAACAAACACCACAUUGCGUACGUCCAGUCGGGCGUACGCAUGUGACGGUUCGUCGGUGCCAAUGGGACCGAACGUCCGUUUAAAAAUGAGAUUAAUGUCGCAAUCCUAUUUGCGCGAAGGGUGCGCGUUCUGUGCUCGGUCUGUCGUCAGUGCGUCAAUAUGCACGCUGGCGUUGCAACGCGCUCGCGGUCCCUCGAUAACUCGUCGAUGACGUCGAUCCCGCAGGGAUCGAAUCUCGUGAGGGUGAUUCGAUUUGUGACCGUCGGACGCGCGUACGGUGCGCUGUGCGUGUGCACUGCGAUGACAUUUCGAGCGCGCGCGCUCCCUCCGUACACAGUUCAGUAGGCGGACUCGACGUCCGAAGAGGCGCGUCGACGGCACGCACCUUCGGGGCGUGCGCAGAGUUGUUGUUCUUGAACAAUGCGUAUGCGCUCGCCGUUGUCGGAGCGUCCGUCGUAGCGCUGACGGAUAUCGAGUCUGCCUCACAUUUUUUAUCGUUGGCCUCGGAUCAGGGAGGAUCACCCGCCGAAUUUAAGCAUAUCAAUAAGGGGAGG